This is a long non-coding RNA of Anthonomus grandis grandis, 950 nucleotides long. RefSeq lists it as uncharacterized. NCBI's taxonomy places the organism in Eukaryota, Metazoa, Arthropoda, Insecta, Coleoptera, Curculionidae. The record is from RefSeq and is a predicted model, not a curated record. The transcript has 2 exons.
GCAAAUUUUGUUAAACCAAAGAUUAAAUAUGGAAGACGAGACGAUCCCGAAGAGGAACACCUUAACUUAGACACUGCAAAUAAUAAUCCUCGAGCUUCAAUUAGUUUUCUCAAACGAAGUGGCUCUACCACAAAUAACAGUUUGGACUACUUUACAUAUUCGUGAAUAUUAACAUUACAAAAUUCAUAUCAGUGAAACACUAAGACCUGGCGAUGCUGAGAGACGCUUAUAAUUUUGUUACUAGUUGGAAAGUAAAGUUAAUGAAGAUGCCGACUUCCUAAAUAAAAUUAUAGUAACAGAUGGACUAUUUAAUAGACAAAACGAACACUAUUGGACAAUAGAAAACCCAAGGCAGAAUCAAGAAGUAAGACCUCAGGAACGAUAAUCAUUUAAUGUAUGGAUGGUAUAUGGCACAACAAAAUUAUCGGCCCGUUUUUUCUUGAAGGAAAUCUAACUUCCGAAAGAUAUGCAGAAUUAAUAAGGACCAAUAUAAUAGAUUCCUUAAUGGAAGAACCUUUGGACGUAUUACGUCACCUAUGGUAAAAACAGGACGGUGCACCAGCCCAUAAUGGACGAUGCGUUACCACCAAUUUAUUAAAUGAAUUGUUCCCUAACAAAUGGAUUGGAAACCAAGGACCAGUACGUUGGCCCGCUAGAAGCCCCGACCUAAGCCCUUUGGAUCACUUUUUUUGGGCAUUUCUUCAAAACACGCCACAAAAUCCUGAAGCCUUACGUCAAGACCUAACAAGGGAGAUCAGGGCUAUGCCCACAAGAAGUAAUAUGCAUGCAUCCAAGCAGACGGAUUACUAUUUGAAUAUUUCCUUUAAUUCUGGUAUUUUUGAACCUCUUUUUAUGUUAGUGUUGAAAUUUUUUUUACUAAUGCGUUAAUAUAAAAAAAAAGGUGUUUGUUUUUAAUCCCAUUAAAAAUAUAUUUUUGUCUUUCUCUUUAA